ACAUUUGGAAGCUGGUACUACCAGCCUGGUAGCAUGGCUGCGGCAUUGACGACGGAUUGUAAAAGAAGUCUGGAUUGGACAUAUUUCAUUUUAAUGAAUAGCAACGAGGCUAAGUGCACAGUUUGUGCCUAAUACCACAAACCUAACGAAACACUUAAGAAACGUGCAUCCCGCAGCACACGACAAAAUAAAUGAAAAAUGUGCCGCUCAAGCCGAAGGGGACACGAGAAAAGACAAGACCACGCCGCCGAAGCAAAAGCAAAGUACUUUAGAAGUGGUGUUUGCGAAAGGCAGGACUUAUCCAGGUUGUAACACAAGGAAGAAGUCGGAGCCAUAUUUGAAGUUCUUCAUUCUUCCUCGUGAGAAGAAAACGACAAGCAAAUGGCUGAAAGCAAUCAAUCGAGGAACAGUAAAAGAAGAUGGCUCCGUGGAACAUUCAAGCCAAUGGGAACCUAAAUCCAGGCACAUUUACGUUUGCAGCCAACAUUUUAUUACUGCAGCGAUGACCGGCCACCAAGCGCUGCUGCCACCACUGCGCAUUCUGGAUACCACCGUGCCACCUGAAAGGCAUCAGAGCACCUUGCAGCAUCCGACAAGGGCAAGGCCUUUCAUUUUAGGAAGGGUUUGAGGCCAAAGGAGGAGGGCUGAAGGCGGAUUUUGACUUUUGAGGCAGGGGGGUACAGCAUGUUGAUGACCCCGAAACGCAGUGACAGCAAUAAAAAUUAACUUACAAGAAUAUUCAUGAUAAUAAGUUGAAAAUGAAUGUUUGUUUUUUUUGUUUUUUUUCCCCUCAUAAUUCUUGAGGGGAAUUCUAAAUCAGGCUGCAUAGUACAGCUAUACUUUUCGCCAAGAUUGUCAUCCAUUAAAUAUGGUACGCCCGCCGGUGGCGUGCCAAUGUUGUUACCCCCGUCAAAAAUUGUAUCCCCUGGGCUGAGCCACUGCGCUGAACUGAUUUGCUUGAUUUCUGUUUUGGUGAUCUGGUUAUCUACAAAGUUUUAAAACAUGGCCCAUCCAUAAAAAAACAACAGCAACAAAAAAAAACAUGUUUUUUUUCUGUCAUAUAACCUAACACAAGUACUGAACAUCAAAAAAAAGGCAACGUUUUACUCUUUUACUCGUAGGAUGACCUAUAACUGUUAUUAGUAUAAUUCAAGUCCUGUAUGGCGUUUCUACAGUUUAAUAAACGUUGGAUGUCCAAAAUAUAUAGCUGUGGUUCUUUUCUGGCUUCAAGUAAUUGUUCAAGUCAACAUAACUCAUAACUAAUGUGUGCGCUCCCGCGGCCAGGGGAUGCAAUUUUUGAUGGGGGUAACUACAUUGGCAAGAUACCAGUGGUGGCUGUGUUGUACAAUUAGCGUCGUUAGUGGGGCAAAUUAAAACUCCGCUCAGCACUUCGGCGGCGCUCUCUGGCAUUUCAUGGUCCACAUUUUCAAUCCUUGGUUCUUGCUCAGUAGUUGUUGUCACUUUUGAAAGCUUACGUUUAAAAUAAAUUAAUAAAUAUAAUACUGUUAGGUACAAUAAGGUACUGUUUAUGCCACAAAACCAAAAAUAAACGACUGGAAACAAAAUGGCGGACAAUAGUCUGGCAAUGUAAAAUAGAAAUCAUGUAGGGGAUUACCUGUACUUAUGUAUUCUAAUUAUACGGUUUUACCGGCAUGAACUCCUUUGCUGCCAACACCAUUCACCGCCAAACCUUUCAAAUUAUUUGUUGAAUCAUGUGUAAAAAAAAAAAGUAUGUGAAUAAUGUAGAGUAUGAAUAUUCAGAGAGCAACGCUUCCAAUUUUAUUCAUGUUGUGAAAACGCUCAAUGCGAGGAAGGGAGGGGCUUCUUGAUAUGAUGUCAUCCUGGUGAGGUCACGACCCAGGAAGUAAAUCUAACUAAAACAUUUUUUUUUUUUUUUUUUACAGAUUGUACCCUAACUUUGACUAAUACAUUAAUAAUAAUAAUAAAGGGUUUUUUUCUGUUGUUUUUUUAUUAUAAAUGUAAU
This is a long non-coding RNA of Corythoichthys intestinalis (scribbled pipefish), 1984 nucleotides long. RefSeq lists it as uncharacterized. NCBI's taxonomy places the organism in Eukaryota, Metazoa, Chordata, Actinopteri, Syngnathiformes, Syngnathidae. The transcript has 3 exons. The record is from RefSeq and is a predicted model, not a curated record.